Molecule: ribosomal RNA, 497 nt
Filed under: uncultured bacterium
Lineage: Bacteria
Description: partial 16S ribosomal RNA
Rfam family: Bacterial small subunit ribosomal RNA
Source: RNAcentral
GACGAACGCUGGCGGCGUGCCUAAUACAUGCAAGUUGAGCGCUGAAGGUUGGUACUUGUACCCACUGGAUGAGCAGCGAACGGGUGAGUAACGCGUGGGGAAUCUGCCUUUGAGCGGGGGACAACAUUUGGAAACGAAUGCUAAUACCGCAUAAAAACUUUAAACACAAGUUUUAAGUUUGAAAGAUGCAAUUGCAUCACUCAAAGAUGAUCCCGCGUUGUAUUAGCUAGUUGGUGAGGUAAAGGCUCACCAAGGCGAUGGUACAUAGCCGACCUGAGAGGGUGAUCGGCCACAUUGGGACUGAGACACGGCCCAAACUCCUACGGGAGGCAGCAGUAGGGAAUCUUCGGCAAUGGACGAAAGUCUGACCGAGCAACGCCGCGUGAGUGAAGAAGGUUUUCGGAUCGUAAAACUCUGUUGGUAGAGAAGAACGUUGGUGAGAGUGGAAAGCUCAUCAAGUGACGGUAACUACCCAGAAAGGGACGGCUAACUACGUG